This 448-nucleotide ribosomal RNA is filed under the name Hyloxalus subpunctatus (Bogota rocket frog). Its description in RNAcentral is "partial 16S ribosomal RNA". It matches the Rfam family "Bacterial large subunit ribosomal RNA", at positions 1940 to 2541 of the family's 2925-position model. The record is from RNAcentral. Lineage: Eukaryota; Metazoa; Chordata; Amphibia; Anura; Dendrobatidae.
UCCUAACCGUGCGAAGGUAGCGUAAUCACUUGUUCUUUAAAUGAGGACUAGUAUGAACGGCUUCACGAAGGCUAUACUGUCUCCUCUCCCUAAUCAAUGAAACUAAUCUCCUCGUGAAGAAGCGAGAAUUAAUCUAUAAGACGAGAAGACCCUAUGGAGCUUUAAACAACUGAAAUACUUGCUUCUUUUACCCACUUCCCGAAAAUAAAAUAUAAUCUAGCACCUUUAUUUCUAGUUUUAGGUUGGGGUGACCACGGAGCAAAAAAUAACCUCCACGCUGAAAGAAACUACUUUUUCUUAGCAAAAAGCUACAGCUUCAUGCAUCAACAAAUUGACUUCUAUUGACCCAAUAAUUUGAUCAACGAACCAAGKUACCCUAGGGAUAACAGCGCAAUCUAUUUCAAGAGCUCAUAUCGACAAUAGGUUUACGACUCGAUGUUGAUCAGGG